RNAcentral lists this long non-coding RNA (12145 nucleotides) under Heterocephalus glaber (naked mole-rat). Its description in RNAcentral is "lncRNA (ENSHGLG00100048783.1)". The record is from RNAcentral. Lineage: Eukaryota; Metazoa; Chordata; Mammalia; Rodentia; Bathyergidae.
GUGUCAUAGUCCUUGGUCUGGCUCUGCCCACUUCAGGUUCUGCAGAAUUUCCAAGUUCAGCCCCUUGAAGAUUGUGGCCCCUGCUCUCUACUAGUAUAGAGAAGGAAGACUGGGGUAUGGUAAUGCAUGCCUAUAAUCCCAGCAAUCUGGGAGACUGAGACAGAAGGAUUGCAAGUUUGAACACAGGCUGGGAAAAUCAGUGGCUUAGCAAGACACAGUCUCAAAAUAAAUAACAAAAAAAGCCAGGGAUGUAGCUCAGAGCAAAGGCAAGGAAAUGCCUGGAGCUCUGGGGCUGGCUGUUGUAUAUGUGAUCUUGGAUAGGCUUUUUUCCUUCUCUGGAAUCUGUUUCCUUGGUGGUGAAAUGGCCCGAGUGAUACUCACAGGGUUAUUUGGAAAAUUUAAUGCGAUAGUAUAUGAGUACAGAGCUGAAUUGAAAAUCUAAGAGGUGAGUUACUCUAGGAUAGGGGGAGUAGAAUAACCUGGACCAGGUCUAUUGUGUGGGGAGGGGGAAGGAGGUGAAGGGGAAAUAGCAUCUGAUAUGACAGGGAGGUCUGGUGAAUUAGGAGUCCAGAGGCUCCUGUGCCAUGCUGAGGUCUCUGCUGAGCAGAUACCGAGGGUAGUCUGUUGUUUACCUAGAAGAAUUUAUAAUAAUCAAAAUCCUGGGAUGUAUAGAGCCAGAGAAAAUACUAUUUGGACAGUGGCCAGCCUGGAGGAAGGAGAGAGUAGGUGCAGGGAGCAGGAGAUGGAAUCUUCCUCUCCGAAGACCACAGCUACGCUCAUGAAUUUGAGUCAUCCUGCAGACCUUAAGUGUUGGAGAAGGGGAGGUCAGUCCCAUAUUCCUUGCCUCUAGGACUAGUUGACUAGGGGAGAAAGCUUCCUAAGCAAAAGAUGCAUGUAAGUACACAAGGCCUUCAGCCUUCUGCUCCAGCCUUGUGCCCUGGCAGACCUAUCCCAUCUCACCCAGCACAGAUCCACACCCUUCCAGCUCUCCAGAGAUAAGUUUCUGAGUACAGAAGUCAAAGCCUGGAUUGAACCUGUUGAAUGAAUAGGAUCAAAUACAUUCUUUCUAUCCCCAGGCUGAAUUUCUCCAACCCCUCCAGACCACAUUCAAGGAAGAGUUACAAAAAUGUCCUCUUGGUUCCCAGAGGAAUAGAAUGCAGCUGUUUAGGUCUGUGAUGGGCUCAUAAAAUUGUCUACUGGCCAGUGUUACGCUCAAACAAAAAACUUCUGAAUUUUGUUUUUGAGGCCCUUAGAAGAGAACAAAAUCUCAGACUUAGCUGGGGUGGAUGUCCAUGAGAAGAAGGGACUGUGUGUGAGAAAAAUUAUAGGGGCAAAAGUGAAGGAAGGCAGACCAACAAGGAGGCUGCAGGAUUCCAAGUGAGAGGGAGGUGGCUUGGGUUGAGAGAUCUUGGAUGGAUUUGGAGUUGAAGUCCCAGAACUCACUGUGGAAUGGAUAUGUGGAGAAGGAGAAAGGAUGACUAGUAGUGAUAAGCCUGAGCUGCUGAGGAACUAGAGGUGCUGGCCACUUUUCCUUCCCCAAGGUACUAAAAGACACCAAGGUAUCAGGAAGGUAGCUGGAUUGAGGGAGCUUGAGCCAUAACAUUGAGAGACAUCAUAAUCUAGUUGGGGUCCAAGGUCACAAGACCAGGCAAGACAGGAAAGAAUGGGAAGUGAGAUGAAAAGGAGUCUCAGUCCUGGGGCAGAGGUUAGGGAGAUAUGAAGAUAUCAGAAGAGUAGAAUGAGCGGGGCACCCAGGCAGGAAGAAAGCUAAGUGUAUGGUCCUGCUUCAAUAUGCAUAGCGGAUUGAUUCCAGGACAUCCUGUGGAUGCCAAAACCUGUGGAUGCUCCAGUCUCUUACAUAAUAUGGUACAGUAUUUGCAUAUAACCUGUGCAAUUCUCCUGUGUACUUUAAAUCAUCUCUAGAUCACUUAUAAUGCCUAAUACAAUGUAACCACCGUGCUAGUAGUUAUUAUGCUGUAUUUUUUAGUGGAUGAUGACAAGAAAAGUUUUUCUGUGUUCAGCCUAGACACAAUCUUUAAAAAUAUUUUCAAUCCACAAGAAUUUGUUGAAUCCACUGAUCUGGAAACCACAGAUAUGGACAGCUGACUCUAUAGUUUAUUAUAAGCUUGUAAAAGCAAGUGUGCCAAGAAAGAAAUGGUCACUGUGUUGGAUACUGCUGAGUAGGAAAAGUAGGACAAGGACAGAGAAACAAUCAUCAGAUUUGCCAUCACAGACAUCCUUGAUAGCAUUAAUGUGGGAUUUCCAUGGAGCAAUAGGGAUGAAAGUCCAAAUGGGCAAAAUAGGAGCUGCCAGUGUGAAGGUAGAGGCAAGGAGUACAGUGCAGGGGGAUGACUGCCUUUUUCCAACCAUUGUGUGAGAGGCACUGAGGGGCUCUAGGCUUUGCCGAGUGACCACAGCCCUCAGUCAUCACAAAGAGAAAAAGGCCUUGUGUCUUGGAAGUCAAGGCUUGGGCUUGCCAGGGUAGAUUAGUAGAUGAGUGGGGCUGGGGAGGAUGAGGUAGAUAUAGGAACCCAUGCCUAAUGCUGUCUUUUCUCUGUAUAAUGACAGCCUGGCUUUGAGAUAUCAUCUCUGCUCAUUGCCAGGAGGGUAGAAAGGUGGGCUUCAGUGCUGUCCAUCUCUGUGCUCUGCCUGUGUGUGUUAUGCUUCUGAGGAAGCUGCACUGUUUUAUACAACUACAUUCCAGAAAGAAAGACAGAGGCACUUCUUAGUAUAUAUUCCUCUGAUUUGUAUCUACAUGUGUUUAUUCUUGCAUAAUCACACAUUGUGAGCAGUUUCAGGCCUAUUAUUUUUCCACUGAAUGUUACAUAAAUAUAUAUUCUCUAUGUUGGUAUAUGGCUUUCAUGGAUAUUAUUGAUUACAUAAAAUUCACAUAAUACGCCCCAUGUUCAAUCAAUUCAUCCUCUACUGGUAUUCAUUUGAGUUAUUUUCAAUAUUUAUAGACAGCAUUGCAUUGAAUAUCUAUGUAAAUGGAACUUACUCUGAUAUAUUCUCAUAGAACUAAUAGAUUUAGGAUUCUUGAUAUCUACUUGCUAUUUGUUGGUGGGAGGACUGACUGGACCCACUCACUUAGAGUAGAUCCCUUACUCUCAUACACUUGUCUGGACACUAUCAUUUAUUUUUAUUGUUUUACUUUGAUGGGUGAAAGAGGGGUCUCAUUGUAGCUUCAAUCUGUCUUUCUUUGGUGGUUAAAUAAGAUGCUGAUUUUUCUCAACUGUUCAUUUACUGAUUCUACUUCUCCUCACUGGAAAAAAUAGUUCCCAUCAAGUGAUCCACAUUUGCACCUUUCCCAGUAAGCUUUCUGAAUGGUUAACCAGGCUGUCCUCAGCUGGUGGAAUGGUUCAAGAUCAAAUAUUUGUGUCCUCCUGCAUGUUUCCGCACCUCUAGCCAGUCUUCAACAGUCAUAUUCUUCCACUUGAAGGCCUCACAGUGGCCUCAUAUAGACUGUCUUGUAACCCUUCAUUGACUGCCUGUAGUCACUUCCCCUGGACUUAGAAGAGCCUUUGGGAAUAUAUCUUGACCAACUGAUUAGUCAACACUGACUGCUCACAAUUCUCCACAGUCUGCCUCUAUCCACUUGCCACCUCUCCCAAGGCAAUCUUGGGCUCUGGUUACCUUGUCAUUGCUUCCUAUUUAGGUAUGUUUCUCCCUCUCUCUUGUGCCUUGGUUUAUGAGACCUCCUCCAAGAAUGCUUCUGUUUACUCUUGGGCCAUAUCCAACUAAACUAAACUCAUCCUCUGAGACCUUGCCUCCUUGGCUAAGCCUUCCUGGAUAUUUUAAAGCCACUCAGCCUCCUGUGCCUCUGAACAUCUGAAGGAUUUAUAGUCUAUAGGGGCUCUUUGAAAGGGCUCCCAAUACUCCAACAAAUAGUUCCUUUUCCCUACUCAACUUCUGAACAAAUUGAGAAAGAAAAACUGAGAUGAAAGCCAAAUUGUCAUCUUCUUUAGUGAUGGAGGCUUAGUGAAAGAGGCAGUUUAGAGUGAGGUCAACUGGAUAUGCAAACUGAUGUGAGAAUUACCCCUUUUCCACUUCACUCUAGUCUCACAUGAUCUGGGUGAGAGAGGCCCCACAUGUCACAGUCAGUGGAGACCCACACAUGGAAGGGAACAUGAGGAGUAAGAAAUCUGACAGAGCUCCUCACAGACCAUACCCCAGGGGAAAAUGUUAAAUCCUGUCUUGAAUUAUAAUUUAGUCUAUCUAUGGGUUUUGUCACUCUGGCUACCUUUGAGUUCCUUGAGGCCCAAGGAAGGUACAACUUCUUAUUGUCAUAGUGCCUUCCAGUAGGUAAAGAAGACUCGCCGUUAGCAAACUCCUUCUUCCCAUGUCUACCCACUCCAACUAGAUCUGAGAUUCUGUUCUGUUUUGAAGACCUCAUUUCUCUACUGAGGCAUGCCUGAGUGUGCAGGCAGAACCUAUAGGAAGAAACAGGGAUGUAACCACUAUCAUUGACUCAGGUCUCAGUCAGGAUGGUGAUAGGCCCUUUUCUGAGAGCAAGCUUCAUGAAGGUACAAGGACUGAGGGGACUAUUAUCCUUGGUGUCCUUACACUAGGAUAGAGGAGACAGCCAAACAAGAGAUUGAGAUAGCACAGGCAUGCUUUGCUCAACUCAUAAGAGUUGUGCUAAGAGUCUCUUUAGGGCUUCUAGUAGACUGAUUAAUGAAUUAUUUCUCAUCCAAGGCAGAGAGGAUUAAAUAUUGUGGGCUGGAUGUAGAAGCCCAUGGCCAGAGCUAGGUUACAAACUUCACUGCUCUGCUGGCUGCUGCUUUCUAGAGGCAUUUUGAAGCCCACCUGGUAAUGCCUGGAUUCCAGAGCUGUGGGUGCACACACAUCAUUGUACCACAUAGAGUUAGAAAAAGAUCUCUCUAAAAAUAACCACCGAGGAAUAUUUAAUUUGAUAGCAAGACUGUGACUAAUCCAUGAAACAAAGAGUCUGUGUGACAAGAUGCAGUACAAUAAUGGGGAGAAAUUCAUGUUUGACCUUUAAGCAAGUGCAAAAUGAAACAGAUCUAUACCUCAGCAGCUGAGGAUCCUGUGGGUCAAGGGAGAGUGGCUAUGAAGAGGGGAUUUGGGGGCUGGGGAUUUAGCUCAGUGCUUCCGGUGCCUGUUUCGCAAGCGCAAGGUCCCGAGUUCGAUCACCGGUACCAAAAAAAAAAAAAAAAAGAGGGGAUUUGGGCUGGGGAUUUAGCUCAGUGUUUCCACCACCUGCCUCCAAAGCACAAGGACCCAAGUUUGAUCCCCAGUACAAAAAAAAGAAAAAGAAAAAGAAAAAAAAAGAGGGGAUGAGAACUGAUGGAAUAAAUAGUUCUUGAGGGUACUGCAUAAUGGAAAUAGCUUAGGAAAAUCAAUACCUUUUGGUGUUAAAUAGAGAGAAGAGGCUAGCACUGAGCUAAAUGCUGGCUGAGAAGAGGUGGAUGCUGCUAGCCCAGCUGGGCAAAAGUGAGCAAACUGGCUCUUUUAGGCUGGCUUGAAGGAGAAGCAGUUCCCACAAAUACAAUGAGAACCAGAAUUUUUGGCAACCAAUCUGAGCUGGUAGAGAGGGGAGCAAGGUUCCAAAUAUUUAAUGAACAUUUACCCUGUGCUAGGCUCUGUGUUGAGAGUUUUGCAGGUAUUAUCCUCAUACAUAUUCUUUCUAGAGAAGCUAUUAUUUUUACUUGACAGAGGAGAAAACUGGGUUUAGAAGUUUAAACCACUUGCCUGGAGUCAUCCAGCUUGGAAGUAUCUAGAGCUGGAUGUGAGUCUACUCCUGACUCCAGAACCCUCAAGCUCGAUUUCUCACUGAUAGUUCACUCUGAACUUGAAAAUCUCCAAGACUGUACAUCAACAAUGAACCCACUAAGAAAGGAAUUAGGAAAACAAUCCCAUUCAUGGUAGCUUCAAAAAAUUUAAAUACUGGGGCCAGGGAUUUUUCUCAGUGGUUCCGCUGCCUGCCUCAAAAGCGCAAGGUCCUGAGUUCCAUCCCGGGUACCAAAAAAAAAAAAAAAAAAAAAAAAAAAUUAAAUACUUAGGUACUAACUUAACCAAGGAAGUGAAAAAUAUCUAUAAGGAAAACUAUAGCACUCUGAAGAAAGAUUGAAGAGGACAUUAGAAAAUGGGCAGAUAUCCUACAUUCCUGGAUGGGCAGAAUCAAUAUUGUCAAAAUGACCGUAUUAUCAAAAAUAAUACUUGGAUUUUAUGCAAUUCCAGUCAAAAUACCAACAACAUUCUUCACAGAACUAGAAAAAACAAUCCUAAAAUUUAUAUGAGGCUAUUUAUAUGGAGCCAAAGCAAUCCUGAACAAUAAGAGCAAAGCAAGAGGCAUUACAAUUCCAUAUUUCAAGUUAUACUACAAAGCUAUAAUCAUCAAAAGAGGAUAAAAAAUAGACAUGUACAGCAUUGGAAAAGAAUAGAAGAUACAGAAACAGCCCUUUUCACCUUUAGUCUGAUCUUUGACAAAGGUACUAAAAACAAAUGCUGGAGAAAAGACAGUCUCUUUAACACACGGUGCUGGGAAAAUUAGUUAUCCAUGUGUAGAAGAAUGAAUCUAGACCCAUCCGUCUCAUCCUAAGCUAAUAUAACAUCAAAAUAGAUCAAAGACCUACAUAUAACAACAGAUGCUGAACAUGCUGGAAGACAAAAUAUCUAAUUCUUGAAGACAAAGGCAUAGGCAUAGUUCUUUUUGAACAGAAUCCCAAACUAUACAUGAAAUAAUAUAAGAAUAGCAUUACCCCAAAUUAAAAAAAACUUCUGCAUAGCAAAGGAAAUAGAUUGAAGAGAUAACCUACUGAAUGGGAAAAUAAUUUUACCAGCUACUCCUUGAAGAGAAGACUAAUAUUUUGAAUUUAUAAAGAACUGAAAAAAAAUUAGACCUCAAAAAACAAAAGACCCAAUCAAAAAUGGGCAAUUGAAAUGAAUAGGCACUUCUUAAAAGAAGUGCAAAUGACCAAUAAGUACAUAAAAAGCUUUUCAGCAUCUUUGGCCAUUAAAAAACAAAAAUCAAAACACUGAUAUUCCAUCUUACUUCAGUAAGAAUGGGUAUCAUCAAAGACUCAAGAAACAACAAAUUUUGGUGAGGUUGUGGGGAUAAAGGAAACUUCUACAUUGUUAAUGGGAAUGUAAACUAGUAGAACCCCUAUGAAAAUCAGUAUGGAGAUUUCUCAGAAAACUAAAAGUAAAAAACUUCAAUUUGACCCAGUUAUACCCUUUCUGGGUAUCUUUCCAAAAGAGUUAAAGUUAUCAUAUUAUAAUGAUUAAUGAAUACUCAUGUUUAUAGCAGCACAGUUCACAAUAGCUAAAUUCUGGAAGUUACCUAUACUGUAUGCCUAUCAACAAAUGAAUGGAUAAAGAAAAUGUGGAAAAUAUACACAAUAGAGUACUACUCAGCCAUAAGAGGGAUAAAUAUGAGUUAUUUGUAGGAAAAUUGAUGGAUCUUGAGAUAUAAUGCUAAGUGAAGUAAAUCAGACACAGAAGGUUAAAUAUCACAUGGUUUUUCAUAUGAGAAAGCCAAAAUAUAAAUAAUUUAAACAGCAAAAUAAAGAUGGCAGGAAACAGGAAGAUUUUGAAGAUGGGAAGAUCUGGGAAAGGAAAAGAGGGGAAAGGGAAAGAAGAGUAAAGAUGAUCAACAUGCAAUAUGUGAAUGUACCAAUUCCCAAAAAUGAAUGUAAUUAUUAUAUGUCACAAACAUAUAUUAAUAACAAAUUUUAAAAAAGAAAAGAAAAAGCCUAAGCCUGGCCUGAUAGCCUGGGAUCAUGGGUGGGAGGCUGAGGACAGGUGUGGUUUCAGUGGGGGCUGUCUAGUGAUGAGUUCUCAUAGAAAAUUGCUGAGAUUCCUGGCAUGGCAGGUUUCUAUAUGGGAUCAUUUCUCUGAUUGUUCUAUAAUUCACGACUGCAUAUUAUAAAUUUUGAUCCAUUGCCUUGGGUUCUAAUUGGAGAACAUUCUCCAUUUCAUAGAGUUGCUUUCUUUAGUGGUGACAAGGGGAAUACUGUUCCUGCCACUCCCUGGGUAGGGAUCCUAUGUAUUCUGAGUACAUCCAACGUAUGCUCAUAUGAGAGUUUGUUAAAGAUUUUUUUUCCAUUCUCUAAUAAAUAUUUAUCAAGAAAGAGAUCAACAACGGUCUUUGAUUAGAUUCAGUGCCAAUUGGUGUCUGGCAUGCUUGGCAUUAUUCUGUCCCUGGCCCCUUUGCAUGUGCUGGGUUGUAGGUGGCAAUCAAGGAAUUAAGGCUGCAGCUGAAGCAGUGGUCCCAGAAACCCUCUUAGACACUGGAAAGUGACCUGGGCAGGGAAGUAAAUUGUUCUUCCUCUUUGAGCUUGGGAGAUGAGGCCUGGAGUUUGAGCACAGAUGUGCCAUCUUGAAAAUAAAAGAAGGAUUGGCUCGAGGAGAGAUGCUUGGAGUAGUCUUGGGUUAGGCAUGGUCCUGGAUGUCUCUGCACAGACUUUCUUGGGUGCUCAGAGAAUUGGGGAAUAUCCAGCAGUGCCUCUAAGCCCAGUCCAGGGAGAUGGACCUUUUCCUAGGCUGUUCCCUCGAGAAGCCCAGAAUAUCCUUGAGGGGCCUGGUCUUAUUCAUGUCUCUUAUCUUUGCUUCUGACCCAAGUCCAGCAACGAUUGUUGCUCUAAUGUCAUGUGAUCCAGCAAGGCUCUAAGACCAGACUCUGCCUCCAACUCUAGCCACACUUUUCCCACUCUCCAGUUACUUGUCACUCACACAAUACAUGUUGUUUUCCAUUCUUUGGCUACAUCAAGGUCCUCCCCUGCCAUGUCUACUUCCCUAAAUGCUGUUCUCUUUGUCUAGAACACUUUAUCUACUUCUUUACCUGGCUGAUUUAUCCACAUUGACAGGUUCCAGCUUAUUGUUUUUUUUUUUGUUUGUUUGUUUUUGUUUUUUUUAGUAUCAGGGAUCAAACUUGGGACCUUGCACUUGUGAGGCAGGUGGCAGCACCACUGAGCUAGAUCCCUGGCCUGACAGGUUCCAGUUUAGCUAUCAUUUCCUCCAGGAAGUCUUCCUUGACUUGCAAACUAGGUCAGGCUUCCUGGCUGGUGCUGUCUUUGUUCUUAUGUCUGCAAUUAGAGGUUCACUUGGGUAAUAAUUGGUCCAAUGUCUUCCUCACAACUAGAUGGUAAACUCUGUGAUGGGAAAGACCGUGGACAUUUUCUGACCUGAAACUUGCAUAAUAAGUGAGCAAAACUUUUUGGAGAAUAAAUGAUUCAAAUUUCUCACACUUCAGUCACAUAACAAUUCAAACAUGGGGUAGCUGGUGCUGUACCAAACAAACAGGCUUUGUUUUGCAGUUAAUGAAUUAGUGAAGGCAUAGCAAUUGAUUGCUUUUUAUGUGUAGAGAAAUUAUCUCUGUCCUGAUUUUCAAUAUCUGUGCUAUUUUGGGCUGUUUUUCUCUUUUUGGCCUAUUUGUAUUGCCGCAAUAAUUUCACCAUUUGGCUUCACAGAGGCCCAAUAACUAUUACAAAUAAGGUUCCAUAAAAUUUACUUCUUGACAUUAGAAUGUUUUGUUGCUAAUUACUCUCUGAGGUUUUUAAUUUCAAUCCCUCCUAGGUGAUUUAGUGCAGAAAUUCAAGGGCACAGUUAUUUCCCCCAAAGGGAAAGGAGAACUAAGUAAUGCCAAGUUUCUAUUUGCCCUACCUUCUGGUAGAGCUAUCUCAGUUUUGAUUCUAUCUAUUGUACUUUAUCCUGGCCAGAAAAGAAUAAGUGAACAAAAAUCUUACUGGAAAAAAGAUAUAAAUUCUUGGGGAAAAAUAAAAGUACUCUUUCACUAAUGUAGUCAUUUGAACAAUAUUUAUUGAGUACUUAUGAGGUGUGAUCCAAAAAUAAGAUGAAUGCUUAAAUUUUUAAAAAAUUAAGUAAAAGACAUUACCAUGAAUCCCUCCUCAAAAUACUCCCCCUUGCUUUGAACACAGUUACUCUGUCAUUCUUUGAAGCACUUCUGGAAGUUCUCUCUUGUGUCUUUAGUUGUGCUGUUGUGGUUGCCUAGAUGUUCUGAAUCAGUUCAAAACAUUUACUACCUUUCAUGGUCAUUUUGACUUUCAGGAAGAGCCAGAAGUCAUAUGGUGCCAGAUCUGGUGAAUAAGGUAGUUGAAGACAUACAGUAAUGUUUUUACAAGGCUGCCGUUCUGUUGGCUGGCAGCAUUCAUUAUAUUUUUUGUCACACCUUGUAAAGACAGUCAGAAAAGAGGACUGUCAGAACUGCUUCAGAAAGUGGCAAGAACAAUAGGAUAAAUAUUUUCAAAAUGAGGGGGAUUAAUGGCAAUCUGUCUUUUACUGUAAUACUUUAAAAAAGGUUAAAAAAUAUUCACUGUAUAUUUUGAUCACACCUUGAAUUAUGCAUCAGAUUCUGUGUUCUAGGCAUGGAAGAUGAAUAAAAGAAUACAACAUGUUGCUGUCUCCAGGUAGUUCACAGAGUUGGGUGGGCAAGAAAUGUUGAAGAUUCUCAGGCAUGUCUGGGAGUGAAUCUCAUGGUGGAACUUGGUAGCAAAAGCCCAUCCAGAAGUGUCAUAUCAGUCUCCAGGGGUUGAAAUGAGGGGAACUUUGGUUAUUUUUCAUUUGAAGACACUGUCUAACUGGAAAGAAUGUGAAUUUUAAUAAUAUUUUGAAUGGGUUGAUAAAAUAGGAACAGAUGGUUAAAGUUUGUCAUUUCAGGAAAAAUAAUGAAAUAUUGCACAGCUGAAUCUGCCUCUCUUUCACACUCUUCCCUAUCCCCUCCCCACCGCAGAUACACUCAGAUGCAUGAAAAUUUAAAGCAAAAUACUAAUAAUAUCUUUUAGCCACUUUAGGUCUCCAUACCCAAAAGGACCCUAACUUUUUCAGCCAUUUCUAUGUUACUGUGUUAGCCUUUUAUUCCAAUGGUGCAUCCUGAGAGGAGCCUUUCUACAGGAUAUUGCUUUGUGGGGAUAUAAGAGAUGGUGGGGAAGUGAGACUUGCCUGAGUGUCUCUCUGCCAUGAAGAAAACUGGCUUUGCUUUAUUGACCAGAGCAGAUGUACUCUUUGAGGAACUCAGCAGGGUAAGUAUGAGUUGGGUAAGAUAUCCUAUCUACCAGCUCCUAGGAUUUUUAUGAGUAGAAGCUCUAACUGCUGACACGUUCCUGGUCAAGAGAAAGCAGAUCCUCACCAUUAUCACCUGUACUUUCUUGGAUUUAUUCCAGUUGCACAUCUCUGAAGUUUUCCUUUUAUUCUGCUUGGACAGCACAUUAGAUGAGAUCAAACGCUGAGAGAGAGACAUAAGCACUGCUUUGGCACUGUUGCUAGAAACUCUUGGGAGAAUGAGCAUUGUGUACCAUUUGCCCAUUGCUUGCCGACUUCAGUAGCAAGAGUCUUCAGAAUGCUCCUGGAUAAACAUAAUCUUUGUGGCCAUACAUUGUUUUAUGAGCUGAGUCUUUAGCUUGGCUGGCUCCUUAAAUGCUGCUGUCUGAUUCUCCAGGCAGCAGAAAACAAGGAAAGAAGAGCUCACCGAGCUUUGUGGAUGGCCAAUUUCACUUGCCAAAGGCUAUUUUGAAUAUCCACCAGUCUGAAAGAGUUUCCUGCUGAAAGCAUGACUACUUCCUUACUCAUCGAGUUUCGUUUAUCAUUUAAGGAUGAAUGCCCUCCUAUCCUGUAGCUGAGGUGUGCAAUCAUGGUGUGGACAAUUUUUUUGGAGGGAGUCUGAAGAAACUGUUAUCUAAGAUGGAUUCAUACUGGAAGCAAGAGAGCAAACUGGGAAAAAUGGCCUUAGGCUCUGUGAUUGUCAUUGUGUACAUUAGACAAGACAAUGAAAGUAGAGGAUGAAAUAAGACCUUUCUGGUUGUUCAGAAGGCCUGUGUAGCUUGGCCCCACUUACUGGACAGAGCUUCCUGGAGAGAGUUUUUCGAGAAUGUGGCUUCAUUCCAUAGUAUUGCUUUAUGGUGGCCAUUGGGCAGGGGGAUCUAUCUUCCUGGGAGUUAGUUACAUAAAUAAAGACAUCUCUUUUGUUAUGCUCUUGGAAUCCCUUACCUUUCUCCCCGCAAAAGAUGUAUCUGGCUAUUGAGAAACUAAACAUUCACAGAACAGACAUUUUCUGGACAAGACUGGGCAGCCUUUAUUGGUGGGUGAAGUAGUCCAGAGAUCAAGAGGUGGUAGCAAUAAUUCAGGUGAGCACUCUCAGGCCUGAGAGAAAUUACCAGUUACAAAGGAC